Molecule: long non-coding RNA, 319 nt
Filed under: Brassica rapa (field mustard)
Lineage: Eukaryota; Viridiplantae; Streptophyta; Magnoliopsida; Brassicales; Brassicaceae
Description: long non-coding RNA (BRAP_LNC006732)
Source: RNAcentral
AUAAGAUAGUAUUACUAAAUGAUACUAUGUAAUACGUUCCCGGACAAUAUUCAACAAAGAGAGAGAAAGUACUAAAGAACCUCUUCAAGAACUGAUUUAACUUGGCGAAGCUUCUCAGCAUGUUCAAUCAAGGUUUUCUGGAUCACUAUCACUCUCACGACCUGGUCUACAUAUAAAAAAAGGAAGACCAUAUUGUCGUUACCAGUAUUCAACACAUGGAAAAGAUAGACCAGACAUGCUUUUUGGAGACAAGACACAAAGAGUUGAGUUCAGGGUUCUAAAGAUGAGGAGCCUUUGCGUCUAAACACAUUUUUCUUAG